Molecule: ribosomal RNA, 405 nt
Filed under: uncultured bacterium
Lineage: Bacteria
Description: partial 16S ribosomal RNA
Rfam family: Bacterial small subunit ribosomal RNA
Source: RNAcentral
GAUGAACGCUGGCGGCGUGCCUAAUACAUGCAAGUCGAGCGAAGCGGGGACGGGUGAGUAACACGUGGAUAACCUCCUAUAAGACUGGGAUAACUUCGGGAAACCGGAGCUAAACCGGAUACUUAUCGAUGGAUCCGCGCUGCAUUAGCUAGUUGGUAAGGUAACGGCUUACCAAGGCAACGAUGCAUAGCCGACCUGAGAGGGGGAUAGGCAACACUGGAACGGAGAAACGGUGCAGAGUCCUACGGGAGGCAGCAGGAGGGAAGCGUCCGCAAUGGGCGAAAGCCGGACGGAGCAACGCCGCGUGAGUGAUGAAGGUGUUCGGAUCGUAAAACUCGGUUAUUAGGGAAGCGGUACCGAAUCAGAAAGCCACGGCUAACUACGUGCCAGCAGCCGCGGUAAUAC